GGAGCCUUAAGACACAAGAUGUAGGACUGUGAGCCUCCCAGGAAGUAGGGUUGGAACUUGGAAUCUGCAUGAGGACCUGGUCUCUGCAUCCGUGUUUCAGUAGAGUAUGAACAGAAAACUGGAGAUGAGGUGAGGCCAGCAGCUCAGGAGUUGACCUCCACUGGAGAGGAGGGCACAUGCCAACCACGCAGGGCCACGUGGAGGAGCACCAGGGCCAGUCAGGCCACAGAGGGAGUGAGCAGAUGCAUGACCAGAACCAUACUGUGGUUUCCACAGGAAGGAACCCAGCAGAGAAGAAUUCGCUUCCUGGAGAUAGCAUGUGGUUACGGAGCAAACAAGAGGCACUCGGGGUGGAAGAAGUCGACCCCAAGUGUCCGUAUCUGGAGCCUUCCGUGCAGUCACACCCUUGAGUCCUCACUUAUGGUCUCCCCGCUACACUCAGAAGACCAAGGUCAGAGAGCAUCUGCCCCAGACUCCCCCUGACCCCUUGUGACCUGAAGCAGAAAUACAGACGCUGGAGGCGGACAGGUGGGGGCGCAGGGCCCCCAGCCCACAGACGGGCAUUUUCUCCCUCCACGGCCUGUGCCCUGCAGCCUUGUGCCUGCCUGGCUCCCUGGAGACUGGCCUUGGGCAGUGCCCAGCAGUCCCAGGAGGUGACCGCUGCCCUGGAACCUCCUUGUGCCCAUGGCAGGUCUGAGUGCACGAGGCCAGGAGGGGUCAGCCCGCUAUGUGAACGUGGAGGCUCAGAGGGCCAGCGACUUUGAUCGCGUGAGAUCACAGCUCCAGCUUCUUAACACCAAGUCACGAACAACUGUUGUGGUGACCUCCUCGCAGCCACGGGAGCAGAGGACUCUGGUCAAAAGAGCUGCACCCAAGGUCAGGACCAGCGAGCCCAUCGCGUCCUACAGCUACAGCACAAAGGGAACCUAUUCGGAACUCAAGGACCCAAAGGGAGGGCUGGCUUCGGGCAACAGCUGAGCAGGUGCUCAAAUGCAGGGAGCUGUGUGGGGAAGCUGGAGGGCACGUAUUCUGUCUUCCUGCUGAGCCCCAAUGCUCUAAUCCCACCUUCCUACUUACUGGGUCAGGACUGUUCCUCAAGUUCAACAUUUGAUCCCCGGGAUCUGUGACAUAAGGAGUUCAUCCAAGAGAGCUCAGUGGCAUUGGGUGGACGCUGAGUGCAUGGGGCCACUGACCUCUGGAGCCUGGACCACAAAGCGGGUGUAUGCUCCUGCACCCUGCACGGCACACCCUUCCUCCCUGUGCACACAUGAAGUCAGCUUCUCCCCUGCCCUCUGGUGAUGACUCUGGCUCCCCAAGAAAACAACAUGUGGUGUGCUGGGGCCACACUCUGCACAACAGAGCUGCCAGCAAGAAAAGGUGAGCUUGCUAGAGAAGGUUCCGGAAAUGAUCUGAUGAGGGGCCAUCUUUUCAAAGCAUAUUCUCUUGCCACAAAAAAAAUAAAUAAAUAAACGAGAUGAAGUAAAACACGGUCCACCCCUCUCCCCCGAGCUUGGUGUCCCCAGGGGAGGAUUUUUGAGAAAGAACCUGUGCUCUGCAGCUACCCCUCUGGACAGCUCUGCUCAUUCUGUGCCGGGUACAAGGCUUCUGUCAUGGACACAUGAGCCCCACGUGGUCAGCCGGGCCUUGCCCUGAGCAAGAGGAAGUGAGAAGAGAUCUAGCAUCCCUCCCCUCUCAACUCAGCCUUCCUUCAAACAGAAAAAUCGGAAACAGACUCUAAGCAAAAGCUUCUACAGGCUGAUCGCUAUUUUAAAAAUACCAAGUAGGCAUGUCGUAAAGGAGUCACGGGUCCAAGAACAAGGAGGAAGAGUGAGCGUGCCUCUGUUUCUGGGAGGUCGUCCAGCACAGCCCCAUGGUCCCCACGAGGAAACCAGACACAGCUAAGUGUUCACGUUCUCAAAGGGCUUACUCACUGUCGGAACAGAGCCUGUCAUCCGCCACCCGGUUACUGGUGGUUCUUCCCCAAAACGCUCUCUAACCGUGGAAGGGAAGAUGGCACGUAAGCCGAUCUGACACCAGAUUCACGUUCUCAAGAUAAGGUCACUGACUCUCCUGACAGUUUACAGGACCCGGCCAAUCACCUCCAAGACCACUCUGUGACCGCUGCCAGCCCCACCUCCCAGUCACUGAAGAGCAUCGGCCCUGCCCUGUCACCUGUCACCCGGCUCCCAUGGCACAUGGUCCCCUUAUGUCAGCUAAAUAGGGGACCUCACUCGUCCUGCUGCCCCUUAGCUGAUGGGAAUCGGUAUAAAUUUCUAAUAUUAUAUGCGUAUCCCUGGAAACAGCAAACCUGUAUGAAAACAAAAUUAUAACCACAUUUCAUCCUUUUAUCCCAGGACAAACUAUCUCAAUUACUGUCACUUUUCUUUUUUUUUUUUAAUUUUUAAAAAAUAUUUGUUUAUUUUUGAGAGAGAGAUAGAGACAGAGUGCGAGUGGGGUAGGGGCAGAGAGAGGGAGACACAGAAUCUAAAGCAGGCUCCUGGCUCCCAGCUGUCAGCACAGAGCCCGAUAGGGGACUUGAACCCACAAAGCGUGAGAUCAUGACCUGAGUCAAAGUUGGAUGCUUACCCGACUGAGCCACCCAGGCGCCCCUCACCUAUUGUCAGUUUUCCUUAGGUAUAUGUGAUUCUGCUGAAUAUACUUUCUAAUUUCCAUUUUUAAAAAAUUCAGAGCAGUUUAUUAUCACAGUGUAACCUAAACCAUAACACGGGUAUUUUUUUGUUUAAAAGACACAUUUUUUUCCAAAUAAAAGUACAUGGAAUCAAUGGGCAACACCCACCAUAGCCACUAGUCACACACAGCUACUUAAAUUAAACAAGAAGUAAAAUUAAAGAUUCAUUUCCUCGGUUGUUCACAGCCACAUGUCACUCAUGGCCAUGGCCAGCAUGGGCACAGAACCAUUCCCUUCACAGAAAGUUCUAGAGGGUGGCGCUGAGGAGGGACCAGCCCAGAACUCAACUUCCAGUCCAGACCUUUCUCCACCCUGAAAGGCCAUCACUCUUUACGACUGUUAUAUAUCCUUCUCUUUCACGUGGCUUUGUGGCUUUUCCUAUGGUUUUACGUGUAAAUAGAGGCACAUCUAUGUAUACACAUUGCUUGGUGACUUGUCUUUUUUCUUUCUUUCUUUCUUUUUUUUUGAGUCUAGCUGACACAUGAUGUUACAUCAGUUUCAGGUGCACAGCCUAGUGAUGCAACAACUCUGCUCACCACAAGUGUAGCUGCCGUCCAUCACUGACAAAAUGUCCCGGACGUCAUGCAAUGCAAAUAAAUACAGAUGUGCUUAAUUCUUAUUUCAUGGUGAAUAAUAUCGCUCUUAGGGAAUCUUAUUAAUGUUUUAACCAUGUUUCUCCUGCUGGACGUUUGGGUGGUUUUAGAAGUAACCACCCAGCCUGUUGAUAUAGAUCCUUCUGGUUCUUUAUCUGGGUUUUAUCUUUUUUCUAUCUACUUUGACAUAAUCUGUGACAUGUGAUUUCUCUUUUACUGUGGAAGUUACAAUAAAGCUUGAAGAUUAUUUUACGUUA
Molecule: long non-coding RNA, 3539 nt
Organism: Neofelis nebulosa (Clouded leopard)
Lineage: Eukaryota; Metazoa; Chordata; Mammalia; Carnivora; Felidae
Exons: 2
Source: RefSeq, a predicted model, not a curated record